CCAUUUGAAGUGAGGAUUAGAUGGAACUGAACCAUCUCAUGAAAGACAAGGAGCAAGGUUCAGUUUCCUCUAAUAUCUCAUCUCGAAUGG
Molecule: microRNA precursor, 90 nt
Filed under: Setaria italica (foxtail millet)
Lineage: Eukaryota; Viridiplantae; Streptophyta; Magnoliopsida; Poales; Poaceae
Also listed under: 1 other name
Description: MIR2275 microRNA precursor family
Rfam family: MIR2275 microRNA precursor family
Source: Rfam by way of RNAcentral